This 73-nucleotide small RNA is filed under the name Mytilus galloprovincialis (Mediterranean mussel). Lineage: Eukaryota; Metazoa; Mollusca; Bivalvia; Mytilida; Mytilidae. The record is from RNAcentral.
UAUCCCAUGGGACAAGCAAAAUCCCAUGGGAUUUUGGUUAAAUCCCAUGGGAUUUUUUUUGUCCCAUGGGAUU